GACGAACGCUGGCGGCGUGCUUAACACAUGCAAGUCGAACGGAAAGGCCCUGCUUUUGUGGGGUGCUCGAGGGGCGAACGGGUGAGUAACACGUGAGUAACCUGCCCUUGACUUUGGGAUAACUUCAGGAAACGGGGGCUAAUACCGGAUAGGAGCUCCUGCUGCAUGGGGGGGGUUGGAAAGUUUCGGCGGUUGGGGAUGGACUCGCGGCUUAUCAGCUUGUUGGUGGGGUAGUGGCUUACCAAGGCUUUGACGGGUAGCCGGCCUGAGAGGGUGACCGGCCACAUUGGGACUGAGAUACGGCCCAGACUCCUACGGGAGGCAGCAGUGGGGAAUAUUGCACAAUGGGCGGAAGCCUGAUGCAGCAACGCCGCGUGCGGGAUGACGGCCUUCGGGUUGUAAACCGCUUUCGCCUGUGACGAAGCGUGAGUGACGGUAAUGGGUAAAGAAGCACCGGCUAACUACGUG
Molecule: ribosomal RNA, 468 nt
Filed under: uncultured bacterium
Lineage: Bacteria
Description: partial 16S ribosomal RNA
Rfam family: Bacterial small subunit ribosomal RNA
Source: RNAcentral